UGAUGCAAACUGUUUAUGGAAGGC
This 24-nucleotide non-coding RNA is filed under the name Cricetulus griseus (Chinese hamster). The record is from RNAcentral. Lineage: Eukaryota; Metazoa; Chordata; Mammalia; Rodentia; Cricetidae.